GACGAACGCUGGCGGCGUGCCUAAUACAUGCAAGUCGAGCGAAGUUUUUCUGGUGCUUGCACUAGAAAAACUUAGCGGCGAACGGGUGAGUAACACGUAAAGAACCUGCCUCAUAGACUGGGACAACUAUUGGAAACGAUAGCUAAUACCGGAUAACAGUAUUUCUCGCAUGAGAGAUAUUUAAAAGUUGGUUAUGCUAACACUAUGAGAUGGCUUUGCGGUGCAUUAGCUAGUUGGCGGGGUAAAGGCCCACCAAGGCGACGAUGCAUAGCCGACCUGAGAGGGUGAUCGGCCACACUGGGACUGAGACACGGCCCAGACUCCUACGGGAGGCAGCAGUAGGGAAUCUUCCGCAAUGGGCGAAAGCCUGACGGAGCAACGCCGCGUGAGUGAAGAGGGAUUUCGGUUCGUAAAGCUCUGUUGUUAGGGAAGAAUGGAUAUGUAGUAACUAUACAUGUAAGAGACGGUACCUAACCAGAAAGCCACGGCUAACUACGUG
Molecule: ribosomal RNA, 499 nt
Filed under: uncultured bacterium
Lineage: Bacteria
Description: partial 16S ribosomal RNA
Rfam family: Bacterial small subunit ribosomal RNA
Source: RNAcentral